GUUAUCGAUAGUGUCAAACCAUCAAUAGUGCGGAUAGUGCCAUCGAUAGCUCUCCACCUCUUCUUAUACGUUCUUUCGUAAACCGGACGUCCCGACGUGCAGACAUGGCAUCGAAAGUUUCGCGUGACACGCUCUAUGAGGGCGUCAGUGGAAUUCUGGAGAACUCGCUGAAGAAGAAGCGUGGCUUCCUCGAGACGGUGGAGUUGCAAAUCGGCCUCAAGAACUACGAUCCCCAGAAGGACAAGCGUUUCUCCGGCACUGUCAAGUACGUUGGCUAAAAUACCUGCGCCAGUGAGUACGCCUGCUCCCCGCGAGUAGUGUGCCACAGCGUUAGGAAGUCGAUCAUGUGGUAACAUUGAUCGGCGGACCUGCACUCAGGGUCUUAAAAACAAAUUGAGUAGGUCUCCAGCAAUGGAGACCGACCCCUGUAGUUAUUAAAAUGAAAACACGCGUGCUCCCCCGUGGGCUUUGUUGAAGCACAUCCCCCGUCCCAAGAUGAAGGUGUGCAUCCUCGGCGAUCAGCAGCAUUGCGACGAGGCCAAGGCCAAUGGCGUUGAGUUCAUGGAUGCCGAAGCCCUGAAGAAGCUGAACAAGAACAAGAAACUUGUGAAGAAGCUGGCUAAGUCUUACGACGCGUUCCUGGCUUCCGAGUCCCUCAUCAAGCAGAUUCCACGUCUGCUGGGUCCCGGUCUGAACAAGGCCGGCAAGUUCCCUGCCCUGCUGUCGCAUCAGGAGUCCAUGAUUGGCAAGAUCGAGGAGGUCAAGUCCACCAUCAAGUUCCAGAUGAAGAAGGUUCUGUGUUUGUCGGUCGCCGUUGGACACGUCGGCAUGAAGAGUGACGAGCUUGCCCAGAACGUCAACUUGUCGAUCAAUUUCCUGGUCUCCCUGUUGAAGAAGAACUGGCAGAAUGUGCGCUCCCUGCACAUCAAGUCGUCUAUGGGCCCACCCCAGCGUCUCUACUAGAUGUCCAUAUGUUUUAACAUCAGAUAAUAAAUGAGAAACUACAUUUUGUUAAAUGUA
This is an RNA transcript of Drosophila pseudoobscura, 1020 nucleotides long. It is a transcript of the gene named ribosomal protein L10Ab, with no coding region annotated. NCBI's taxonomy places the organism in Eukaryota, Metazoa, Arthropoda, Insecta, Diptera, Drosophilidae. The transcript is spliced from 3 exons. The record is from RefSeq and is a predicted model, not a curated record.